UUGUUAGGUUCUUUUGUUUGAUAAGCAGAAAUUUCAAUUAAAUUAACCAGUUUUGUUUGGUUUACAUGUUGCACAUUUUGUUGGGUUGGAAGUGGCUUGACCUCAAAGUCGAAUCGGCUCCGAACUUUUGAAACUCGAGUUGCCAUGGAUGACUGGCCAAUCUUGCCCAGGCUUUUCAGCGCGGGCACGUGCCAUUGUUUUAAUCUGUUUUCGGUUCUUAGUUCUCGGUUCCGAUAGCUAUGUACCCAUAUUGUUACAUAACCAAUUGGCCAGACGAGAUGGGAAGCAUACGGAGAUUGGGAUCCCAGGUGCAUCCAGGCAGUGGGUAAUCCCAUGUCACACUGAGGUGUGUAUAUGCACAAGGGGCAACUCAAGUUCCGCGGAUCUCUAAGGCACACACAUAUAUCAUGUAUCAGCUACCAAGGUAUGUAUAUACACAUGUACAUAACGAUUGCCAACAAACAAAUGGCUUGCGUGUGUGUGUGCGUGUGUGUGGGUGCGUAGUUAUUGAAAAAAAGCACAGAAAACACAAUAAAAGCGUCGGUCUGUCUGGCUUAUCUGUCCAACAAAACUAAUCGGAGUGACCAAAAUACAACACGGAACUGCGAGAAGCGACAGUCAGCUGUCCGGAUAUUUUUACCCGGAGUCCCGAGCCCGUGCAGUCCGACUGGCCGUGGAGCCCCACGCUUUCUUGUGACCAGAUGCUGAAUGCGCUCCGAAACCAAAUGCUCUCGACCCAUCACGACUUGGCACUAAAAAAUACCGAAAGUAUCCUUUCAAAUUUGAAAUUUAAAAACCCAAAAUUCUGGAAUUUUGAAUUCCCAAUUUUUUCAAAAACUUUAGUUUAAAUAGUAACUAUUUAGCGGAAAUAACGUUCCCUGUUGAAAUUCGCAACUUUUUAAGGAGACAACCAGUAGCCCGCGUAAGAAAAACAGCCACUUGAAUGGGAAACUAUAGUUUAUUUCUUUGCCGCGGUGUGCUUGAUUGGGAUCUGAAUUGUGGUUGGGGAUCUCUGGUUCUGUUUCCGAGGGGAAGCAAUCAAGCGAAAACACCGAGAAUCGCUUCCCUCGCUACGGGGAUACUUCUUUUCUUUAAGACUAAAUCACUGCGUUGCAGAAUCAUCAUAAUCGUAUUGUAUAAUCUGGCUGCCGUGCCGUAUAACAAUGGUCGCUUGUUUGCGGACUGGCGUAAUAAAUAAUAAACUUGCA
Long non-coding RNA from Drosophila santomea, 1208 nucleotides. RefSeq lists it as uncharacterized. The record is from RefSeq and is a predicted model, not a curated record. The transcript is spliced from 3 exons. NCBI's taxonomy places the organism in Eukaryota, Metazoa, Arthropoda, Insecta, Diptera, Drosophilidae.